RNAcentral lists this small nucleolar RNA (102 nucleotides) under Phaseolus vulgaris (common bean). Its description in RNAcentral is "snoRNA snoR30". It matches the Rfam family "Small nucleolar RNA R30/Z108". Rfam says of the family: snoR30 is a C/D box small nucleolar RNA which acts as a methylation guide for 18S ribosomal RNA in plants. Lineage: Eukaryota; Viridiplantae; Streptophyta; Magnoliopsida; Fabales; Fabaceae. The record is from Rfam by way of RNAcentral.
UGUCAUCGCAAUGAAGAUGCUAAAGCUCCCUCUUCUGAGAUUUGGAAUUGAGGAAAAUUGCUGGCAGAAUCGAACCAUAAUAUCUUAGCCAUCACUGAGUGA